Artibeus jamaicensis (Jamaican fruit-eating bat) is the source of this 2931-nucleotide long non-coding RNA. RefSeq lists it as uncharacterized. NCBI's taxonomy places the organism in Eukaryota, Metazoa, Chordata, Mammalia, Chiroptera, Phyllostomidae. The record is from RefSeq and is a predicted model, not a curated record. The transcript has 2 exons.
GGUGGGUCACAGCUGACGACUCCUUCCAGCACAACAGCCAUCACUAGCACGGUGUGGGGUUUUUUUGUUUUUUUCUUUUUGUUUUGUUUAACCAAUGUAGUUAUAUUAGUAGUUCUAUAAAGGGAACUGCUUUUAACAAUUAAGGGACUGGGAGCAGUCCAUGGGAUGAAAAGGAAAGUGUUUUCUCGUGGGAAAACAUGUCAGGAAAAAUAAAGAACACUUCCUACCUCUGUUUCAGAUUUUUGAAACACUUAUUUUAAACCAAAUUUUAAUUUCUGUGUCCAAAAUAAGUUCUAAGGACAUCUGUUCUUCCAUAUGAAAUAGGUUAGGCUGCCUAUUUCUUGCUGAACUCAUGGAAUGGUUCUGCUUGUGAUCCUCUGCGCGGCCUUUUAGUGAGCGAGGAGUUUGGGGUUGCCUAGCAACCCACAAACUUGUACAAACUCAUCUUUCCCUCCCAGAAAGCAACGAAGGAAAACCAGGCAAAGUCAGUGAAAGACAAUCUUCGUAGUUUCAGGAGUACAUCUGUUUGUGGCUUCUGUCCAGCACGUAGAUGGAUGUCAAUGCAGCAACUUGUUUUAAAUAAUAAUGCACAAUUCACUCCCCCCAAAAGUUGCUCCUUGCCUUUUCAAGUUGUUGACGAACACACGUUUGAUAUUCUAUUAUAUAUUAUAGUAAUGUGACGUAUAAACUCGAGGCUUUUUAUUCUUUGUGAUAAACCCUGUUUUAAAAUGUCAUAAAACAGGAAUGAGCAUUCUAAUUAGAUUACUACAUCAACAUACGGUUCAACUAGGACUACUAGAGUUCAUUGAACACUAAAACUAUGAAACACUUUUUAUAUUAAAAAGACCAUGGAUUUAACUUACAAAAAUCCAAAUGCAGGAUAGUAAUUUUUGUUUACUUUUUUAACCAAACCGAAUUUUUCGAAAGACUUGUUUGCAGGUGUUUAAAAAGAAAGAAAAGUUGUUUUAUCUAAUACUGUCAGUAGUUGUCAUAUCCUGGAAAAUUGGAUAGUUUUAGAGUUAAGAUAACUCCUCUCCUUGGUUAGGGAAGAAGGAAGCCCUUCACCACUGUGGAAUGACGCCCUGGCUUUAAGGUCUGUCUCUACAUCAUGCUUCUUUUGAGACUUAUAUUCAGUAGUUAUAAUUACAGAAACUGAUUAGUUGUAAGUUUGCCGAUUUAGCACAGUACUCAUCACUCUGGAUAGAUUGAUAUGUUCUUUCACAACAGGUGAAUGAUCUGUAACACUGUAAGAGACUGAUCUUUACAACUGUUUAAUCAGUUUUAUUUUUGUACAGUAUUAGUGAUCUAAGUUAUUUUGCUGUCCUGUUUUUGUAAAUCAAAUGAAAUUAUAAUAGAGGAUUCUGACCGUAGGUAUUUUGUACAUAUGUAUAUAUGUUCAAAUAAAAAUAAUAAAAAUGAUAAAGAUUUCAUUGUUCCUGCUACUAUGUGUUUUAAACAGGGCCUGUUUUGCCAUAAUAGGGGCUACUACUUUAACCUGUGCCCACAGAAUUUUAUGAUGAGUACAAAGCUGAUUUUAUUACUUUAUGCUUUCAACAUGUGCAAUAUUUGUAUCGAUCUGUGUGUAUUUACUAUUCACAGACCUCUGAAGUAGUAGAUGGCAUGGGAGCUGCUUGAAACCACUAUUAUACUGGAGAGGAAUAUUCAUAUUUUCAGUUUGUAUGACACCAGUAACCUGGCAGCCAAGGAGAGUGGACUGGAAUGCACAUGCGUGGACAAUGAUGACUUCACCGUACUAGUCAACGAGGGCAGUCGAUGCUGUUGAGUAAGCAUACGUACUGUGUGGCCAUCACAUUGAAGAUGACUGAGUGAGUAGAGCUAUGAAUCUGUAUGAAAUUUUGUGUUAAGCUUGAACGUUCCACCCUAGAAACUAUUUAGAUGAUUCAGAAAGCUUUCAGGGACGAUGCAAUGAGUGCAGUGCGAAUAGAAGUGUGCCACAAACACUUCAAAGACAGUCCAGGGUUUGUUGAAAGUGAUCCACAUUCUGGAAGGCCUGCAACAAGCAGAACACCUGGGAAUGUUGGACAUGCAUGGGCUGCAAUCAACAAAGAUCGGUGACUUACACUGUGAGAACUAGAAGCUGAUCUGGAGAUUCUAAAAACUAGUGUGUCCAAGAUUUUGAUGCAGCAUCUUGGCAUGAACCAUUUAGUGGCAAAAUUCAUUCUGCGGCUUCUCCUCCCAGAGCAGAAGGAACAUUGUGCUGUAAUUGUUGAUGACUUGAUUCAAACCACUACCAAGGAACCAGAUUUCCUCAAGAAGGUCAUAACAAGAUGAAUUGUGGGUCUAUGGUUAUGAUCUGGAAAUGAAGGUCAAGUUGUCCCAAUGAAAGUCACCUGGUUCUUCACGCCUGAAAAAGAUACAGCAAAGCUGCAGCAAGACUAAGACCAUGUUGACUAUUUUUUUAUUGGAAAGGUGUUGUCCAGUCACUUGUAUGCCCCUCCAGGCCAAACAAUAAGGAGUACUAUCGCAAUAUUCUUUGUCAGUUGAGAGAUGCAGUACAACAAAAAUAGCUACAGCUAUAGGCAACUGGUGAUUGGCAGCUUCACCACAAUGUACCCUUUCAUGCAUCACAUCUUGAGCAGAGCUUUUGGGUGAAACAUCACAUCACCCAGGUAACUCAGCACCCCAAAUAUCAGCCCAGAUUUGGCACCCUGCAACUUCCAGCUUUUCCCAAAACUAAAUCACCUUUGAAAGGGAAGAGAUUUCAGACUGUCGAUGAGAUUCAGAGAAAUAUAACGGCAACUGAUGGUGAUUCCAACAAAGGAUUUUUGGAGUGUUUGGAACAGUGGUAGAGACACUGGGAGAAUUGUGUGAGGUCCCAAGGUGCCUACUUUCAAGGGGACUGAGGAGGCAUCCUUGUCCUAGGUAUAAUGUUUCUUGUAUCCUCUUCAAUAAAUGUUUCUACUGUUCAUA